RNAcentral lists this ribosomal RNA (375 nucleotides) under uncultured organism. Its description in RNAcentral is "partial 16S ribosomal RNA". It matches the Rfam family "Bacterial small subunit ribosomal RNA", at positions 527 to 896 of the family's 1533-position model. The record is from RNAcentral.
GUAGGUGGCGAGCGUUGUUCGGAUUUAUUGGGGCGUAAAGGGUUCGUAGGGGGGGGUUUUUAAGUUUGAUGUGAAAUCCCGAGGCUUAACCUCGGAACUGCAUUGAAAACUGAAGGACUAGAGUAUCGGAGAGGAGAGCGGAAUUCCUGGAGUAGCGGUGGAAUGCGUAGAUAUCAGGAAGAACAUCGAUAGCGAAGGCAGCUCUCUGGACGAUAACUGACCCUGAGGGACGAAAGCGUGGGUAGCGAACAGGAUUAGAUACCCUGGUAGUCCACGCCGUAAACGUUGUGUACUUGGUUUGGGGGGAUUCAACCCCUUCCGGAUCGUAGCUAACGUGUUAAGUACACCGCCUGGGGACUACGGCCGCAAAGGCUA